Gossypium raimondii (Peruvian cotton) is the source of this 127-nucleotide non-coding RNA. The record is from Rfam. NCBI's taxonomy places the organism in Eukaryota, Viridiplantae, Streptophyta, Magnoliopsida, Malvales, Malvaceae.
AAUAGGAGCAUGACAGAAUCAAAUUUUUCUUCCUGAUUUUCAACUUCUUUUUCUCUUGAAAAAAUUUAAAUCCAACGAAAAAGACUAAAAAUCAGGAAAGAAAAAUCUGAUUUGUCGUGUUUCUAUU